This 71-nucleotide transfer RNA is filed under the name Ictidomys tridecemlineatus (thirteen-lined ground squirrel). Its description in RNAcentral is "Spermophilus tridecemlineatus (thirteen-lined ground squirrel) tRNA". It matches the Rfam family "tRNA". Rfam says of the family: Transfer RNA (tRNA) molecules are approximately 80 nucleotides in length. Their secondary structure includes four short double-helical elements and three loops (D, anti-codon, and T loops). Lineage: Eukaryota; Metazoa; Chordata; Mammalia; Rodentia; Sciuridae. The record is from Rfam by way of RNAcentral.
GUGGUUGUGGCUUAGAGGUAGAGCACUCACCUAGCAUGUGUAAGGCACUGGGUUCAAUCCUCAGCAUCACA